UGGUUCUGGCAUNGAUGAAGAACGCAGCGAAAUGCGAUAAGUAAUGUGAAUUGCAGAAUUCAGUGAAUCAUCGAAUCUUUGAACGCACAUUGCGCUCGCCAGCAUUCUGGCGAGCAUGCCUGUUCGAGCGUCAUUUCAACCCUCAAGCACCGCUUGGUUUUGGGGCCCCACGGCACACGUGGGCCCUUAAAGGUAGUGGCGGACCCUCCCGGAGCCUCCUUUGCGUAGUAACUAACGUCUCGCACUGGGAUCCGGAGGGACUCUUGCCGUAAAACCCCCCAAUUCUUUACAGGUUGACCUCGGAUCAGGUAGGAAUACCCGCUGA
RNAcentral lists this unclassified non-coding RNA (325 nucleotides) under uncultured fungus. RNAcentral's name for it is "partial contains 5.8S ribosomal RNA and internal transcribed spacer 2". The stretch from base 1 to 133 matches the Rfam family "5.8S ribosomal RNA", at positions 22 to 154 of the family's 154-position model. Lineage: Eukaryota; Fungi. The record is from RNAcentral.